AAUGAGCGCUGGCGGCGUGGUUAAGACAUGCAAGUCGAACGGUUUUCAUUGAAGGGCAACCGGAUAUGAAAGCAGUGGCGAACGGGUGCGUAACACGUGAACAAUCUACCUCCAAGUGGGGAAUAGCUCGGCGAAAGCCGGAUUAAUACCGCAUGUGGUGGUCUCUCGCAUGAGAGACUGACUAAAGACAGGGACCGCAAGGCCUGUCGCUAGGAGAGGAGUCGCGGCCUAUCAGCUAGUUGGCGAGGUAACGGCUCACCAAGGCUAAGACGGGUAGCUGGUCUGAGAGGAUGAUCAGCCACACUGGAACUGAGACACGGUCCAGAC
This 327-nucleotide ribosomal RNA is filed under the name uncultured bacterium. RNAcentral's name for it is "bacterial SSU rRNA". It matches the Rfam family "Bacterial small subunit ribosomal RNA", at positions 29 to 336 of the family's 1533-position model. The record is from RNAcentral.